AGCAAAUUGACUUGGAAGUCGUUCAUGUACCACAGCAGUGUGUCAUGAGUGCUGCAUAACCAGCCCUGUCUGAACCGAGUCCUAUCUGUUCUUGGCAAUGUGGUUGUGUAAUAUUUACUGCAGAUUCUUCCAAGAAUGAAGCACCACAGCGGCUCCAAAAUCCAGACCCACCGGAAAUGGAGAGAAAGCCCAGCAAAUUACGAGAAGCCACAGAUGAUGGCAGCCUACCUCUCUCCCCAAUAGGCGGUGGCUAUCAAUGUGCUAAAUGCGGUUCUGAGCAUGGUGUGCCCUUUAAAUGUCAACAGUGUUCCUUCACGUGUUGCAACAAAUGUUGGGAGAAUUCCUUGAAGCUUGCCAAGAAGUGCCCAGAAUGCCAAGCGGACACCAAGAGAAGACACUUGGCCAUAUCUUACUGGCCAGAUCCCCCCGUGAAAGACACGUAGAGUGAACACGUGAACUGCUCAAUGGGUUCUGCAGGCUGUAUGGCUGGCUCCAGCUGCUCUGUGUGGAAGAGGAACAACAGAAUUGCAAGUGGUUUUAAGUCGGAUCCUCCAGGCUAACCUUAACCCCACCCCGCUUCUUAAGAGAAGCCACACGGUCUUCAACAUGACUAUUCUCCAUAUAUUUGAGCCACUCAAGUGCUCCUGUCUGUUUCAGUCAAUCCAGAUGGCAUUUAAAUCAGAGUUAAUAUUUUAUCAUCUUUUUCUAAUGAUGACCUUUGCAGUCAGACCGGGUAUCACUAAGCCUAUUGUCUUUAUUAUGGGAAAAUUAAAAAGGAC
Molecule: long non-coding RNA, 779 nt
Filed under: Naja naja (Indian cobra)
Lineage: Eukaryota; Metazoa; Chordata; Lepidosauria; Squamata; Elapidae
Description: lncRNA (ENSNNAG00000001879.1)
Source: RNAcentral